Molecule: ribosomal RNA, 429 nt
Filed under: uncultured bacterium
Lineage: Bacteria
Description: bacterial SSU rRNA
Rfam family: Bacterial small subunit ribosomal RNA
Source: RNAcentral
UGGGGAAUAUUGCACAAUGGGGGAAACCCUGAUGCAGCCAUGCCGCGUGUGUGAAGAAGGCUUUCGGGUUGUAAAGCACUUUAAGCAGGGAGGAAGGCCAUAAGCCUAAUACGCUUGUGGAUUGACGUUACCUGCAGAAUAAGCACCGGCUAACUCCGUGCCAGCAGCCGCGGUAAUACGGAGGGUGCAAGCGUUAAUCGGAAUUACUGGGCGUAAAGCGCGCGUAGGCGGUUAUUUAAGCUAGAUGUGAAAGCCCAGGGCUCAACCUUGGAACUGCAUUUAGAACUGGGUAACUAGAGUACAGCAGAGGGGUGUGGAAUUUCCGGUGUAGCGGUGAAAUGCGUAGAGAUCGGAAGGAACAUCAGUGGCGAAGGCGACACUCUGGGCUGAUACUGACGCUGAGGUGCGAAAGCGUGGGGAGCAAACAGG